Molecule: unclassified non-coding RNA, 656 nt
Filed under: Hevea brasiliensis (rubber tree)
Lineage: Eukaryota; Viridiplantae; Streptophyta; Magnoliopsida; Malpighiales; Euphorbiaceae
Source: RNAcentral
GAAACACUUGUACAAUUGCUAUUAGUUUUGGCAUUUUUCACACAGCGACGAUCCCACUUUCUCCAUUGAUUACCCAAAAUUAAAAUAAAUAACCACAAAAUUGGCAAGUGAUGGAGUGAUCAAUGACAGAAAUCCCAGUGACCUAUAUACCUUCGAUAUCAUUUUCAUGUAUAAGUUUGUUCAGAAGUGUAGUCAGCAGCGCAUCUCUCCUCUCAGCCCUGCUUUCUUCUCUUGUCCGCCUCUGUUCUUCCCUCUCCCUCCAAACCAGCUCAAUCAUUAAUCUCUCUUUCUCAAUUUUCUCCAUUGACUGUCUCCAUUCCAGCUCAAACAACCGUUGCUCAUUCGCACGAUUUUCCAUCAUCUCCCUCCACUGCAUCUCCAUCUGUUGUUGCUGCUGAAAGAACUCCUUGAGCAUUUCCUGAAUACCAAUAAUAUUAGGAUUUGAGGUGCUGGUUACUCUUGAAGGCAUCUCCAUUUGAAAUCUUUCACGCUUCCUCUUCUGGGAAUUGCUUCUAGCUAGCCUCUCCUCCCCACUACCAUCAUCAUCCUCAUCUUCAUCUUCUGAGAGUUCAUCAAAGGAUCUGUCCGCACUCAUUCUCUUUACCCGUUUCUUUGCCCGGGUAGAACCUGCCUCAGAAUCAAAAAGCAACGGCUGC